Long non-coding RNA from Gallus gallus (chicken), 1640 nucleotides. RefSeq lists it as uncharacterized. NCBI's taxonomy places the organism in Eukaryota, Metazoa, Chordata, Aves, Galliformes, Phasianidae. The transcript has 3 exons. The record is from RefSeq and is a predicted model, not a curated record.
GAUGGGAGUUGGCCCCAGGCUGCAGGCUGGCACUGCUCCGUGAUGGCUGAGUGAGCUGCAGCUCAACUCGAAGUGACAACCACGCAGGGAAUGGCACCAAGAGAUGCGCAGGGACAGCUAUUUUUAUGCAGUUCUCAUGGGCAUAGUCAGGCUGAAGUGUUGUUGCCACAAGAAAUAACAGCUGGGUGGACUUCCAGAAGAGCUGUGGGUGCUGCAGAUAGAAGCCAAUAGCUCUCCAGGUGCAGUCUGCAGUCUGAGACCCCUGAGAACCACAUAAGGACAGCCCAGCACCAUGGACCGGGACACCUGACUUACUAAUCUUCUGUGACUUUUGGGAGAGCAACAUGUGCUCGUGGGGCCACGACAGCUGAUUACUCCUGUUAUCAGGAUGAUCUUUAUUCUCAGUAAGGCCUUUGCAGAUGUGUGGUUCCAGCUUAUCGCAUCACUUUGAUAGGAGUCGCACUGUGCUCUUUUGACCCUUUGACCACUGUUCAUUAGAAAUUCAUUGCUAUGCUUCCCUCAAGAAAUGUAUACAUCUCCUCAGACAUGUUUCAACUCCAUAUAACACUAAAAUAUAUUUGAAAUCCCUUUUGCUCAUUCAAAAAAUACUGCAAAACUGUGCUUUUGCAUCGCCUCCCACCCAAGAAUGUCAGAACCCUUUACAGAUAUGAAUCCACACAGGAAAAGGAAAUGUCACAGUCACAAGAUGGGCAAUGAUGGAAAAGGUUUCAGGAACUGCCAUAUCUCACACAGCAGUGCCAUGACGGUAUACAGUACAUACUGCAUUAUAUUCUUUUUGAUGUCUACCCUUUGCCUUAACCACAGCAGCCCACAGGAGCACAUUCCUCUCUCCUUUCUGAGAAUUGAUUUAUCACCAUAAAGAUGGUUUAUUAUACAGCCUCGUGUUGUAAAUCUUUCCUGCUCUAAGGGCUGAUAGAAGUCUGGCACCGUAGUGAGUUCCUGCUAAUUUGCUCUCUGGAUAUCAGGUAUGCUGCUGAUGUGAGAAUGAGCUUCCCGGGAAGUCUCUCUAAACACAGAAAUGUGAGAAUCAAAGAACUUGGUUCUGCUGGGAUUUUUACCAUUAAUCAGGAUUCUGUAUGGUUUCACAAUCCUUUGUUUCCUUCAUCUCAAUUUUAUCCGAAUAUCAAUUUUCAUAGGGAAACAUUUAUUUUUAAAUAAAUAAAUAAGUAAAUAAAACACUACAGAAAACAAAGAACCAAGCAAUUACCAUGAGCCAUUGCCUCGGUAGGACUGGUUGUUCAACACAGUAAUUCAGAGCCAUUGUCCUUUAAAAAUGUGUACAGCUUCAGUUUUAUUAAAUACAAUUUGUCUUAAUGCAAGCAAUAAUCAAGACCGCAUUUAUCUGUGAGAGACAGAGGAGGACUGGGAAGGCAACGAAUGCCAGAUAUCAUGUACGAUUUCUGCAGUCUCAUGAAUUUAUUUAGGGUUUUUGAAAGGAGUAUUUCAAUCACUAUGGGAAUUACUUGCCAGGUGUUGUAAAGUACUUUGCAGUUCUUACAUUGAAAGUCUUCCUGUUCAGAGCAGUGCCAGCAUUCAGAAGUGACAUAGUAAUGUGAAGGAUGACUAUUGGAGGCUCUGUCUGAAUGGCAGUCAUAAAUGUGUUAGCACUAAGUAGUCUG